Molecule: ribosomal RNA, 446 nt
Filed under: uncultured bacterium
Lineage: Bacteria
Description: partial 16S ribosomal RNA
Rfam family: Bacterial small subunit ribosomal RNA
Source: RNAcentral
CUCCAGACUCCUACGGGAGGCAGCAGUGGGGAAUAUUGCACAAUGGGGGAAACCCUGAUGCAGCAACGCCGCGUGAGUGAAGAAGUAUUUCGGUAUGUAAAGCUCUCUCAGCAGGGAAGAAAAUGACGGUACCUGAAGAAGAAGCCCCGGCUAACUACGUGCCAGCAGCCGCGGUAAUACGUAGGGGGCAAGCGUUAUCCGGAUUUACUGGGUGUAAAGGGGGCGCAGACGGCGAUGCAAGCCAGGAGUGAAAGCCCGGGGCCCAACCCCGGGACUGCUCUUGGAACUGCGUGGCUGGAGUGCAGGAGGGGCAGGCGGAAUUCCUGGUGUAGCGGUGAAAUGCGUAGAUAUCAGGAGGAACACCGGUGGCGAAGGCGGCCUGCUGGACUGCAACUGACGUUGAGGCCCGAAAGCGUGGGGAGCAAACAGGAUUAGAUACCCCCGUA